UAACACGUGGGUAACCUGCCCAUAAGACUGGGAUAACUCCGGGAAACCGGGGCUAAUACCGGAUAACAUUUUGAACCGCAUGGUUCGAAAUUGAAAGGCGGCUUCGGCUGUCACUUAUGGAUGGACCCGCGUCGCAUUAGCUAGUUGGUGAGGUAACGGCUCACCAAGGCAACGAUGCGUAGCCGACCUGAGAGGGUGAUCGGCCACACUGGGACUGAGACACGGCCCAGACUCCUACGGGAGGCAGCAGUAGGGAAUCUUCCGCAAUGGACGAAAGUCUGACGGAGCAACGCCGCGUGAGUGAUGAAGGCUUUCGGGUCGUAAAACUCUGUUGUUAGGGAAGAACAAGUGCUAGUUGAAUAAGCUGGCACCUUGACGGUACCUAACCAGAAAGCCACGGCUAACUACGUGCCAGCAGCCGCGGUAAUACGUAGGUGGCAAGCGUUAUCCGGAAUUAUUGGGCGUAAAGCGCGCGCAGGUGGUUUCUUAAGUCUGAUGUGAAAGCCCACGGCUCAACCGUGGAGGGUCAUUGGAAACUGGGAGACUUGAGUGCAGAAGAGGAAAGUGGAAUUCCAUGUGUAGCGGUGAAAUGCGUAGAGAUAUGGAGGAACACCAGUGGCGAAGGCGACUUUCUGGUCUGUAACUGACACUGAGGCGCGAAAGCGUGGGGGAGCAAACAGGAUUAGAUACCCUGGUAGUCCACGCCGUA
RNAcentral lists this ribosomal RNA (709 nucleotides) under Bacillus thuringiensis. RNAcentral describes it as "bacterial SSU rRNA". It matches the Rfam family "Bacterial small subunit ribosomal RNA", at positions 111 to 804 of the family's 1533-position model. Lineage: Bacteria; Bacillati; Bacillota; Bacilli; Caryophanales; Bacillaceae. The record is from RNAcentral.